AUACGGAGGAUCCGAGCGUUAUCCGGAUUUAUUGGGUUUAAAGGGUGCGCAGGCGGGAGAUUAAGUCGGCGGGGAAAUUUUGCAGCUCAACUGUAAAAGUGCCUUCGAUACUGGUUUCCUUGAGUGUGGAUGAAGUAGGCGGAAUUUGUGGUGUAGCGGUGAAAUGCUUAGAUAUCACGAGGAACUCCGAUUGCGCAGGCAGCUUACUAAACCACUACUGACGCUCAGGCACGAAGGCGUGGGGAUCAAACAGGAUUAGAUACCCUGGUAGUCCACGCAGUAAACGAUGAUUACUGGCUGUUUGCGAUGCAAUGUAAGCGGCUGAGCGAAAGCGUUAAGUAAUCCACCUGGGGAGUACGUUCGCAAGAAUGAAACUCAAAUGAAUUGACGGGG
Molecule: ribosomal RNA, 393 nt
Filed under: uncultured bacterium
Lineage: Bacteria
Description: partial 16S ribosomal RNA
Rfam family: Bacterial small subunit ribosomal RNA
Source: RNAcentral